GAUGAACGCUGGCUACAGGCUUAACACAUGCAAGUCGAGGGGAAACGACGGGGAAGCUUGCUUCCUUGGGCGUCGACCGGCGCACGGGUGAGUAACGCGUAUCCAACCUGCCUCUGACUGAGGGAUAACCCGUCGAAAGUCGGCCUAAUACCUCAUGGCAUCGUCUGCGGGCAUCCAACGACGAUUAAAGAUUUCAUCGGUCAGGGAUGGGGAUGCGUCUGAUUAGCUUGUUGGCGGGGUAACGGCCCACCAAGGCGACGAUCAGUAGGGGUUCUGAGAGGAAGGUCCCCCACAUUGGAACUGAGACACGGUCCAAACUCCUACGGGAGGCAGCAGUGAGGAAUAUUGGUCAAUGGGCGGGAGCCUGAACCAGCCAAGUAGCGUGCAGGAAGACGGCCCUAUGGGUUGUAAACUGCUUUUAUGCGGGGAUAAAGUGAGGGACGUGUCCUUCAUUGCAGGUACCGCAUGAAUAAGGACCGGCUAAUUCCGUGCCAGCAGCCGCGGUAAUACGGAAGGUCCUGGCGUUAUCCGGAUUUAUUGGGUUUAAAGGGAGCGUAGGCCGUGGAUUAAGCGUGUCGUGAAAUGCAGGUGCUCAACGUCUGCACUGCAGCGCGAACUGGUUCACUUGAGUGUGCGCAACGCAGGCGGAAUUCGUCGUGUAGCGGUGAAAUGCUUAGAUAUGACGAAGAACUCCGAUUGCGAAGGCAGCUUGCGGGAGCACAACUGACGCUGAAGCUCGAAAGUGCGGGUAUCGAACAGG
This 760-nucleotide ribosomal RNA is filed under the name uncultured Prevotella sp. RNAcentral's name for it is "bacterial SSU rRNA". It matches the Rfam family "Bacterial small subunit ribosomal RNA", at positions 28 to 776 of the family's 1533-position model. The record is from RNAcentral. Lineage: Bacteria; Pseudomonadati; Bacteroidota; Bacteroidia; Bacteroidales; Prevotellaceae.